AACAAAGUGUUUGAAAUUGAAUUAAGGACAUUUGUAAAAACAGCUUCACCAAUAUCAAAAACCUCACCUUUGUUACUUUUUUCAUUCACAUAAUCUAAUAAUUCUUGCAACUUUUGUUGGCGAAGGUUUCUUGUUGAGUCAAGCAUUUUUGUAGAAAAUACUUUUGUAGCACAACUUUUCCUUAGUUUCUUCCACAAAUUUAAUGUUGGAACCCACCCAACUGAGAAUUUGUCAUGAUCAACUGCAGAGAUUGCAUGUGGGACAGUUCUAUUUGAAAAGAUUUGAGAAUUGUCAUGUAAAACUUGUUUGGCUACUUGUGGGGAAGAGAUCACUAUGGUUGUUAUGCUUCCUAGUUUUAAUGUCAUGAUUGGUCCAUAGAUUUUUGAGAGUUUUGUUAAUGCCUUGUGUGGAUUUUUGCCAAGUUCUAAGAUGUUUCCAAUGAUGGGAAGUGGCUUUGGCCCUGGUGGAAGUUUAGUAGAAUUUUGGGUUUGGUUUGAUUUUCUAAGAAUGAAGAUGAGAAUGGUUGCACUUACAAAGGAAAUCACUAGUAGAAGUGUUUGAUGGUCCAUGACUUAUUGCUUAUGCUUUUCCUUUUUGUGAUAUAUAUAUAUAUAUAUUCAAUCCGGUGUGUGUAACUUAUGGUAAUCUUUGGAAGCAUAAAAGUAACAACGAUCUAUAACCUUCGAGAGAUUGGGAUAUCACGUCUCGACUAAAAUCUUAAAACAUUAAAAAUUUACACUUCUGAUCACUAUUGUAAGCAAAAAUUAACAUUUUAGAUUCAUUCAAUAAAUUAUGUAUAUGGUCAUAAUAAAGACUAUAUAUAUCAUUAAUUGAAUAAAUCUAAAAUGUAGAAUUUUAUUUAUGAUAGUGAUCGGAGGGUGUAGAUCACAACUUUUAUAUCAGAAAUUGAACUACUUAUUUAGUCACAUUUAAGCACACGUUUAGACUACACAAUUAGAAGAUUUUCAAUACAAUGAUCUACUCCCUCUCUUAUCAAUUAUAAACAAAUUUCACUUUUUAAGUUCAUUUAAUUAGUGAUGUAUAUGAUCGAGAGUAAUAUACACAAGGACCUGAUACACGAAGGUUCACCACCACUCCAACAUAAAUUAACGCAUAAAAGCAAUUGUUAAAGCAUGAGGCAAGUACAAGUGCUUGGACUUUAGUGUUGAUGCAAUUAAUGUAGAGGAAUUCUGGGCAUUCUUUACUGUAGUAGUAUUAGUUACGUCUUAUCUAAAAAAACAAAAUUGAACAGGCUAAAGAUAAACACAUCGAAAUAAGUAGGCACAAGAAAUGUCAAAAGGGUUUAUCCUUUCACAUGUUUUUUUUUUAAAAAACUAGACUCUUGACCCCGCGCUGUCGCGCGGGUCUGUUAUAGUUUAUUGAGCAAUAUAUUUUGAUUACAAUCAACUCAAGCAAAUUGAAAAAUAAGUCAUUCUAGAAUAUCAUGUAUCAUUGAUCAAUGUGACAUACAUGAAUUUUUUUUAUAAGAUGUGGACAUAGCUAUCUUCCACUUCAUCAUCGAUAAUCAAUAUCUUAAAAGUUUUUCCUUGAUGUAACUCUUGACAAUGCAACAUAUAGCUACCCAUGUCAAAAAAUUGGUUGAGGCAAAUACAUACCUUUGGUUGCCAUGGAUGCGCUUAAAAAGAGCUCAAGAUAUCAAAUGUUUUCUACUAAACUUUUGUAUGCAGGUGAGCUAACUUGAGACAAUGGCCAAACAAACCAAAUGGUAUCACCAAUUUAUAGGAAUAACAUGAGGUUCUUAGUUGGCGUGAACAUAACAUUCAGAAACACAAAAAAACCAAGAAUUAAAUUAUGUCUCCUAGUUGUAGGUUCCAAAGGUGUGCAACUAAACACUUCUAGAGUCCCGCGUCUUGCACAUUUUUUCAUGUUUGCAUUUAUUAUUGGCAUGACUUUAAGUAGCAAAAAACGUGCAUAAUUAAAUUGGUGAAGACAAUGUUAAGUAGUAAUUAGUUGCUCAUUAAUGUGAUGAUUUAGGAGGAAAAUGAUUUCAUAUUGAAGGUUAAAUUUAUCAUUUUAGGAUGUUAGGGCUGCAUUAGGGUUAGGGAUUUAGGGAAAUCAGACCACCUUAGAUUUAUAGUAAGUAAGAUGCUAACAUGUGCCUUAAGGCACAUGUUGAUCUAUUAAACAUAAAAAAUUUGUAUUGUAAAUUGUGUUAAUUUAAUUUGCAAAAAGGUAAACACUUUAUGUGAAUUAAUUUUUUUAAAUAAGUACUUAUAUUUUUCAGAAUCAUUAACAUAUGCUUCCGUAAGAAAAAAAAAACAUAUGUCCUAAGCGCACAAUUAACAAAACUUUUUCUUUUUAUCAAUUUGUCCUUUCACGUGUUAGCAACUAAAACUAGCAAGUUUUUAUUAAAAACAGCGAUUUUUUAUUAAAAAAUUAUAUAUUAAAUAUAAAAUGUAUAAGUUCUAAUAUAAAAUUAUUAUUUUAAAUUUUUUAACAUGUGUAAAUUUACACAUGAUAGAAAACACACAUCACUUGAUACAAAAAAAACACAUAUAAAAAAUGCUAAAAUUGUUAUUUUUACUUGAUAGUUAAUAUUUUAUAUAGAUUUUUUUAACUCGCUUUGAAUAAAUCUGUUAAAAAUAUAUUUUUAAAGAAACUUUGAUUACGAAUGAAUCAUUUGCUACAAAAAUACAAGAUAAAACACAUUUAAAUAAUUUUUUGAAAGAUAAAACACAUUCAAAACACAUUUAAAUAAUAAAAAUGCAUGUCACCGUGAGCUUAAUUCAGUUGAUAAGAACAAUGCAUAAUAUAUCAGAGAUACCAAAAUACGUCUUCUUUAAUGACCCAUUCAAAUCCUUUGCUAGUUGAGAUUUUUUUAUUGGCAGACUUCGGUACCAGACACGACUUUUGUGUUUUGAGUGUUCAUGACAAUUUAUUUUAUAAGGAUUAGAGUCAUAGAACAGCUCUUUCCGGUGUUAUCAUGUCCAAGAGAAAAAAAAAUUAUAAACUUUCAAUCAUUUUAUAUUGAAUAACAACAAAAUCCUUUGUAUUUGUAAUAAAAGCCAAAAUACAGUGGGACAUGGGGAGCCUCUUAAAAAUUGUACAUUGCUAAUAAGUCGUUAUAUGACAAUAUAAGAUACCAAGUUGUCGACUCUCUCAUCUUAAAAAAGUCGUUUGAAAACAAAAAGUUUAGAGUGGCAAAAAUUGAAAGGAAAAUUUUAAAGGGACUAAAACUGAAAUAUAGUAUAUUUAAAGAGACUAAAAAAUAUUAGAAAAUGUUAACGAGUGUCAUAAGGGCACUCUUUAAGAGUUUAAAAUAGUAAGAUUUUAUAAAAAUGUGUGCAUUUAAUGCAUUGAAAAUUGAAUUGUUUAACUUUUUAAAUAAAUGCAUUGGAAUAAUUUUUUAAUUUGGAAUCCUUAAAGAGUGCCCUAAGGACACUCGUUAACGAGACUCAAAAAUAUUUAGUCCGGAAUAUUUUCUUUUUUAAAAUAAUAUUUAGACAUAAAGAUAAAAAUUGUAAAGUUUCUUCACCAACUUUUUUUUUUUUUUUUUUUUGUGUAUGUUGAUGUUGGAAGAAGAAAAGAAUAUUAAAACUACAUUUUAAAUGUUAACACCAACUUGUAACCAAAAAAAAAUGUUAACAUCUAUUUUCAAUAAUAACUAUCGAUGAUAUUUUCAUUGCCUCUUACAUUUUUACUAGACCAAUAAUAAGGGCAAAUAAUUGAUUGACACAUUCAAUGGGGGAUCAAACAUUCAAAAAAAUACAUUUUUUUAUAAAAAAAAAAAAGUUAUGUUAACUUGUGUUUUAAGGACACAUGUUAAACAAUCCAAAAACAGCAAUUUUGCAUUGGAAAACAUAAUAUAUUAAGUUUUAAUAAGUUGAAUGGACGAUUUUUCUCAUGUUUUUAUAUACAAAUGUAAUUGGUACUCCCUCCGUUUCUAAAUAUAAGCAAAAUUGAAUUUUUAUGUUCAUUCAUUUAAUGAUGUAUGUGGUUCAUAUUAUGGAUCACAUAUAUCAUUAAAUGAAUGAACAUAAAAAUUCAAUUUUGCUUAUAUUUAGAAACGGAUGGAGUACCAAUUACAUUUGUAUAUAAAAACAUGAGAAAAUACUAACUUGUGUCUAAGAGUACAAGUUAAGAAAUCAAAAGUAGAAAUAAAAUCUUUAAAAUUGUGUAUUUUUAAUUUUGAAAACAUUAAAUUUUAUUUUUUUAACUUGUACGUUUGUUGAUUAAUUUCUUUUUUAACAUUUUAACCUUCAUCCUUAAGACACAAGUUAAGGCUUAAUACAUCAUUUGGUCCUUAACUUAUUUUUGGUUUUAAUUUUGGUCCCCUAACUUUAAAGUAUCUCAAUUUGGUCCCAUAAGUAUUCAUUUGUUUAUUAAUGUGGUCCUUUUUGUUAGUUUUUAAUCUUAAAUGUCUAAGGUGGACCAACUUUGUAGGUGGUCUACCAUAGACUUUAUUAAAAUUUUAAAUUUAAACCGUUUGAUCUUUUUUAUUUAAAGGAGGAUCAUUGGAUUGCGCAAGUCUAUUUUAUCUUACAGUGAGUCAACAACGGCUAACUUUAUAUCCCAUUCUUCAUCUUCUUUCGUCCUCUUAUUGAUCACUUUCAUCAAGCUUCAUAAAAAAAUCCAGAAAAAAUCAAGAGAUUCAUCAAUAGUAUCAUCAUCUCAUCACUACACCUCCACCACCAUCAACAAUAGCAACUAAACUAAUGACCAUAGAUUCAUCAACCCAUGAACAACAUAAACUUUAAUUCGUCAAAGACACCCAGAUCAGUAACACGCCCAAACCGACAAUUCCCAUUUUAAUAAUCUCAAAUGUUUUUUUUUUUUUUUAAUAAGCAAAUAAAAAGUGAAUCAUGAAAUCAAGAGGGAGAGAAAGAAUUACAAUGGAAUCAAAUUAUCAACCAAAUUAAUAAAAAAAAAUCAUUAAACAAGGAGAAAAAAUUGAAAUCAAUAAGGAGAGAAAGUGUGUAACGGCCGCAUCUUGAAACAUAUAUACAAGAUCUCAAGUAUAGAUGAUGGAUUCAGAGAUGAUUGAGUUGGAAAUAUCUAGAUUUGGAAAUCUAGAUUUGGGUACAAAUCCAAAACAUUGAGCAACUCUCAUGCGAUCCUCUUUAGAUUUUGUAUCACUCAGCUUCUCCAAUGCAAAAUGUGAUUGUGAAAACUGGUUUUAUGGGAAAAUUGGUUCAGAGUAUAAAAAUUGGUAUUGAACCGGUUUUGAACCAAACCGAACCAGAAUUCCAGAAGAAAAAAAAAACAGCUUUUUGCAGUAUGAGGUUAUAUAAACAGAACCGAACUAAAAAUUUGAUUUCAAUUUGGUUUAGUUCUUAAACUUGCACAUCGUAGAGAUAAUGAUGAUAGUUUUGUUAUUGAUUGUUGUUGACGAUUUAUGGAAUUUUCUGGGUUUUGUAUAAAGAUUGAUGAAGUUGAUGUUGAAGAUAAUGAAAAAGAGGAAUGAAGAAGAUGAAGAUAUGAGGAAGGAGAAGAGAGAAGAUGAAAAAUGAAAAAAAUUAGGUGCCGACGGUUCACUAUUAAAUAUAAUGGACAUGCAAUCAAAUGGUUAAAAUCAUAUUAAAAAAUUUAGACAUUAAAAAACUAACGGAGAGGACCACAAUAGUAAACGGAGGAAGACUUAUAGAACCAAAUUGAGACACUUUAUAGUCAGGAGACCAAAAUAAAACCAAAAAUAAAUUAAGGGAUCAAAUAAUGUAUUAAGCCCACAAAUUAACAUGACCCAAGAAGAUGUUCCUAUUUGUAGCCACUUACCGAUUCUUAUCAUAAGAAUCCCCAAAGACAUUAAUUUCUGAUGUAAAUGAAUAAAAAUUUGUACGAAUAAAAUUAGUUUUUGAUAUUGUCCUUGGUGCAUAUAAGAACCACUAUUAUUUAUAGGUAAAUUCUAUCGUACAUCCAAUAAUUUGAGUGUAUUGGUACACCAAAUCCUUAAAUUAAUAGUUAAAUGAGUUAUUUUUUGUAGGAAAAAAAUAUUUUCCAUCACCUAUAAUUAUAAUAACUAAAUCUUUUUUUUGAACAAGCCAAAAUGGAAUUAUAUACGAAUAGGGUAGUUCCCAACGCACAAGGUGUGCCUUAGAGACUACCACAGAAACCAAGAGUUACAACGGUUACAAACAAAAAACAACAGAAAAACAUUAGCCAAUACCCAAACAAACAAGAGGGUUUGACCGCCACUGCUGAGUCCCAAAAACAAAUAUAGCUUUUUUAGCUUUCAACCAACCUAGAGACAGCAGCUUAAUCUUAUCUAGUAAACAAGGGAUGGGGGUAACAACAUGAUUAAACAUUCGGUUAUUACGUUCAUUCCAAACAACCCAAGCACAAAGAAGCCAAAUAAGUUGCAUAAAAGAACGUCUAGCAGCACCACCACCUAUCAAAUGAGUGAACUAAAUCUUAUUUACAAAAAACGUCAACACAAUAAAAUUCGAUUUUUCUGAAUUCAUAUUACUCAUAAUAGAGAAUUUUGAUUAUUUUUUACAAUAAAAUAUAGAAAAAUUUAGUAUGAUUUUUCUAAAAAAUGAAAUGAUGUUCUUUUUCAUAAAAUGAUAUUUUCUAAAAUAUAUAUGUCAACAAACACCAAUUUUCUUUCAUAAAAAAUGAUAGUUAAUUUAUAAAAAUUGUAAGCGAGAGGACCGGUACAGCUUAAUUUGCGGGUGUACCGUAGAAGUUCCCUUAAUUAUAACCAAUAUAAAAUGAGAUAAUUGUUUAUAUAAUAAUAUUCUCUUCGAGUUUCUCUUUGAACUUAUCAAUGUCCUUUAUAUAUAGAAGAUCAAACUUUUUUUUUUCUCUUUCAACUUAUCAAUGUCCUUUUUAUAUAUAGAAGAUCAAACUUUUUUUUUUGGACAAAAUAUAGAAGAUCAAACUUUAUUUUCCCACACAACAAAGAAUAAAGCAUUGUAAUUUCAAAUAAAAGAAUAAAAAAUAAUAAAAAUGUCAGUUGAACAAUCAAAUAUAUUUGGGUCCAUUAAAAUCAACUCUAUACAAAAAGGUAGCUUUUUAUUUUGUAAAUCUUUUUUUAAGCCAAAUUAAUCAACCAAAAUUAAUACAAAAUAACUGAAUCUGAAACAUCAAGAGUGGCACACUCCAAAGUCUCAGAUAAACUUAUUUUUAAAAAUCUUUAACAACUUACAAUGCACAACCCUUACACAUUCAUUAAAAUUGAGUUGAGUUGUAAAAGAACUAAUUCUAGAAUCAAAAGCUAUAAAUAGUAGUAUAUUAAAGUAUAAUUAAUUGCUUUUAGUCUUUAUAAUUGAUAUCUCAAAAAAAUGGUAAACAUGAUUUUAUAGAGUUAGAAUUGCUUCUCACACUUGAAAAACAAUUCUAAAACAUUCAAACAUGAAACCAAUAGAUAGAGACUUAGAAGAGAAUUGAGGAGGAAAAAAAAAAUGAGACGAUCAAAUUUCUUAACAUUUUUAGAGGUUUUGGAAACGACACUACGGCAACCAUAGUCGCAAUUGCAUCGACAAUAAUUGUCUACACAUUAUUACAACAUAGACGUUUUCACCAUAACUGCAACCUCAACCACAUUUUAAACCAUGGUGGUGACAAACAAAUAUUAAUUACACUCAAAAUUAUUCUUAAAACAUAUCCACCUAUGUUGAAGAAGUAGCUUGAACUCGAAGAGUUUGAAUCCUCCUUAAGGUUAGCCCAAAUUGUUCGUCCAUAUUCAUGUCUUCUGGCUUUAGCCCAUCAGCAAGUUUCCAAUCAAAGUUGCAUAGAAGGGAUGCCACAAUUAAGUGCACAUUCCUAUGAGCUAAUGGCAAUCCCGGACAAAUUCUUUUACCUGCCCCAAAAGGUAUGAGCUCAAAAUUAUUACCCUUAUAAUUAAUGUCACAUUCCAAAAAUCUUUCAGGCUUGAACAUAUUUGAAUUUUCCCAUAUGGUUGGAUCUCUUCCCAUGGCCCAUAAAUUGACUAGUAUUUGUGCAUUUUUUGGCACAUUGAAGCCUGAUAUGUUCACAUUUUCAUCACAUUUGCGGGGUAUCGAUAAUGGAGCUGGUGGGUGCAAUCGAAGGGUUUCCUUCACAACUGCUUGUAAGUAAGGUAACUUGGAAAUAUUUGAUUCUUCUAUUGCUUCAUCUUUUCCCAUUACUUGACAUAAUUCUUUUCUUGCUUUAUCUAGUUUGCCAGGGUUACGUAAUAGCUCUGCCAUAGUCCAUUCAAUCGUGUUUGAUGUUGUGUCAAUCCCAGCAAAAAAUAAAUCCUGCCAAAAUAUAAUUUCCAAAUUAAUUUAAAAUUUAACCUAUAUAUCGGUAAAAAGUGUGGAAUAUUAAAUACUAAACCAUAUCUCAAAAAAAAAAUAUAAUUACUAAAUCAUGCAGUGAAAAUACGGAGGUGGAAAAAUGGAAUAGAGUUUAUUUACUGAUUUAAAUGCAUAUUAAUAUUAAAUAUUUUUUAAGGAAAUAUUAAAUUUAUUUUAAGCCCCUGUAAAAUUUUAAAAUUUCAUUGUUUUUCCCAUAUAACUUUUUUUACUUUUAAUCCCAUAAAUUUUUUCAAUAAGCCAUUUUUGUUCCUGUUAUUAAGUCGAUCAACUUCCCUCAAAAAUAAUUAAGUCGAUCAACUUGUGUGUAUUGUUCAAAUUUUUUACACACAUGUUUAUUUGUUUAAUUUUUUGAGAGGUACACACAUGUUUAUAACAUCAUAAACAUCCCUCUCACAAAAAUUUAAACAUUUUUUUACUAUAGAUGAAUUAAAUAUAAAUUUUUGAGGUCAAAAUAACAAAAGUACCGAUAUAAAAUUCAAAUUUUAAACGAGAACGUUUGGUAAGACUUCUAUUGUAACACAUGCAGUUAUCUACAAUGCUUGGUAGCAUUCCGAUAAGUUCUCAAUUCAUUUUGAUUUUAUUGGCAGUGGGAAGCCAUAAUAGGGCUUGGAUGGGCCACGACCUUCUCCAUCAAAGAGCAAAAUACACACCGAGAGACUAAUCUCAGAUCAUGGGGACUUUAAGGACAGUUAAUUAUAAAAAUGAAAUAUUCUAAUGUUUUGUGACUGAAAUGUCAACGCAUUUGUAAAAAUUUGACGAUGUAAUCUUAAAGAGAUAAAGUUAAAACCUCAUCUGCUAAAAAAAAAUAAAAAAAUCUCAAGAUCAUGAAUGAUUGAUAGCAAAGAAUAUAUAAUUAAUAUUUUUGUCUUAGAGUAACUGCCGUAUUUAAAAAAACAAUUGUUAGAUUCAUUUUUCAAUGUAGUUUGUGUUUUUUUAUUAGUAUGGAUCCUGCCACAGUGCCACCGUCGUCGUUAUUUUGUUAAUUAAGUUGUUAUUCUUAACAGUUGGGUUUGUUUAUGAGAUUCAACGGAAGUUUGUAGUUUUCUUUUUUUUUUUCUUCACAAAUUCGUGUUUACGGUCACUCUUCGUUCCCUGGUCUUCAAGGAUGUGAGUUUUUGGGUUAUGUUGUGUGAUGUUUGUGCUCGAUCUGGUGUUUUAAACGCCGUGACAGUUUUGGUGGUCGUGAUGCUGCCGGCGAUUUGGGUAAUAGACUAGAUAUGAUUGUGGCUAAAAAUGGUCGUGAGAUUUCUGUUGUUUAGUAUUGUUUGAUAAUAUUCCUAAAAUAAAAUAAAAAAAGUAUUGUUUGGUAGUAGAUCGCAUGUGUUUUGAAUUUGUUACAAUAUUGACGCUCGAAUCCACUCCUCAUAAUGAAGAUCUGGAUCUGAUGCACAGGUCACCCACCUUUUUUUUUUUUUUUUGCAAUUUGAUUUCACAUUUAUGUGCGCAUAUAUGGUGGGAUUUGUGGCUUAUAUAUAUCCUCUUGGUUAUUUUGUUUUAUGCUUUUGGUUGUUUUUCUUUUAUUUUAUAUUAGGUCAGAUUUUUCGUCCCCCAGUUUUUUUUACUUUGUUUAAUUUUAAUUUAAAUGUUAUAGACUCAUCUACACUCUAUUGGCGUAAAAAAAAUAAUAUGUAUGUUAUUUUCAAAGUAAUUUUCACUUUUCAUUUGUGAUAAUAAAAAUACAUCAAUAGUCAAUAAGGAUAAUUUAAUAAAUAAAAAAUCUUUUAUUUAUCAUUUUUUUUCUUAAGUUGUGUGAAAUAGUUAAAUGCGAUUAUUAUUAUUGUGAGAGAUGAAGUAUUUCAAAAAUUAUUGUAAUUCGUUGACUCUACAUUUUUUUUAAACUGAAAAUGUAUAAAAAUGAAUUUCUUAUAGUUUAUGAAAUUUAAUUAUUUGAAAAGCAAAACUAACCAGAAACAGAUGCACCAUCUCAUUGCGGGUCAAUUCCAAAGUGGUUUCUCCAACAUGGUUGUUGUUAAGAAGUGAAUCUAACACAUCAUUGCACACCACAUAAUCAACUUUGGAAGAUCUUGAACUAAUUCUUUUUUCAAUAAUUCCAUCAAAAAUAUCACAUAACUUCUUCAUGUAACUGGUCAUCUUUGCAUGCACACCUUGUGGAUCAAAGGGACGAAGAAUUGGAAAGAAAUCUGAAACAUUAGGCUUACCAGCUUCUUCCAUGAAACUCCCAAUAAUUUUCUUAAACUCUUGAGACUUUUCAUCGGGUGUGGAAUGAGCCAAAUCAAUAGAGAACAAAGUAUUUGAAAUUGAAUUAAGAACAGUGUUAAAAACAGCCUCACCAAUAUCAAAAACCUCUCCUUUGUUGCUUUUUUCAUUCACAUAAUCUAAUAAUUCUUGCAACUUUUGUUGACGAAGGAUUUUUGUUGAGUCAAGCAUUUUUGUAGAAAAUACUUGUGUAGCACAAAUUUUCCUUAGUUUCUUCCACAAAGCUAAUGUUGGAAGUGUUCCUAUUGAGAAUUUGUGAUGAUCAAGUGCACAAAUUGCAUCCGAGACUACUCUAUUAGAGAAUAUUUGGGAAUUUUCUUGUAACACUUGUUUGGCUAGUUGUGGUGAUGAGAUUACUAUGGUUGUUAAUGUUCCUAGUUUUAAUGUCAUGAUUGGUCCAUAG
RNAcentral lists this long non-coding RNA (10857 nucleotides) under Medicago truncatula (barrel medic). RNAcentral's name for it is "long non-coding RNA (MTRU_LNC005302)". Lineage: Eukaryota; Viridiplantae; Streptophyta; Magnoliopsida; Fabales; Fabaceae. The record is from RNAcentral.